This 572-nucleotide long non-coding RNA is filed under the name Lactuca sativa (garden lettuce). RNAcentral's name for it is "long non-coding RNA (LSAT_LNC006803)". The record is from RNAcentral. Lineage: Eukaryota; Viridiplantae; Streptophyta; Magnoliopsida; Asterales; Asteraceae.
AACUGUUCUCAAUGUUCGUUUCUUGUAAGAGUGUGUAAUUUUCCCAAGUGUAACUAUUAUUAACAAAAUAUAGUUUUUACAUUUAUAGUUUAAGUGAAAGGAUCACUAAAUAUAUGUACAGGGAAAAAUUAAUGUAGUACUAAAACGUAGCGCUAUAAGAACUACUGUUGUACUAAUUACCUUAAACCGGAUUUAUAUUAAGGCAUUAUGUGAUAAAUUGCACCAUACUAUCGACGGAUAACAACGACAUACGAAUGGUCGUAAUAACGGAAUGACGUUUGGCACCCGCAGACCUGCAGGUCCGGCUGUAGCUAGCAGCAAGGUGUAGGAUUGUCAAUCCAGUAUAGAUCUAUACGCAAACUCACGCUCUCCCUACAAGAGACUCUGGCUACAACUCGAGUCAUGACAUUUAAGUCAUGCUCCGAUUUAAAUCACAAUAAUUAUCGUAUUCUCGUAUAUGUACUGUAAUGAACUGUUCUAACUGUAAUGUACGUGCUCUCUACCUAGCAAGUAUAGUAAUGUAAUGAACUGUUCUAACUGUAAUGUACGUGCUCUCUACCUAGCAAGUAUAG